AUGGUUCGCGAGCCCCACGCCGCCUUCUCGCCGAUGGCCAUGGCCGACGGAGUUGGGCAGCAGCCGUGGGCGUUCGCAGCCGUGGGCGUUCGCGUCGUCGCCGAACAGAGCAGGCGGGAUCACUCCGGUGGCGCAGAGGGGACAGCUUCGCCGACGCCGGCACAAAGUUCCGCGGCCGGGACCAUGGCGGCAGGACGACGACGCCCACCACGGAGGAGGACGAGGAUCCCCCGAUCCAGAUCCUCGCCGGGGAGGAGCAGUUCCACCACGGAGGAGCAUUGGGGCCAUGGUCAACGCGAGGUCGAGGGCGGGGGAUGA
RNAcentral lists this ribosomal RNA (318 nucleotides) under Triticum aestivum (bread wheat). RNAcentral's name for it is "partial small subunit ribosomal RNA". Lineage: Eukaryota; Viridiplantae; Streptophyta; Magnoliopsida; Poales; Poaceae. The record is from RNAcentral.